CAAUCGUGGACUCGAUUAUUUCCAUUAGUUUUACCUCCGGGUAGGUAGCUCGUUGUUCCUUCGUGUUAGCCAAAAUGCCGGCUCAUUGCAUUGCUGGACAUUGCUUGAACACUCGGGAGAAUGGAAUUACCCUUCAUAAGUUUGAAAGAGACCCUGUUCGUUGUGAAAAAUGGAUUGCACGGGUCCAGAGGACGAGAGCUUCGUGGGUUCCAAAUAACAGAGUCAAGCUUUUAAACCUGACAUUUGGUCCUUCGAGCCGGAUCCCAACACACCACCGCCCAUCAAGGAGGGAGAAGACACAACGAAGUCUGUCGACAGCCAGGAGCAUUGAGCUGUUCCUGAAGAAAAGCCCUGGUGGGACGUGAAUUCGCGUCCAGGCCGGUGUUAAGAGUCCAAUCUCCCCUCGGUGGACGAAGGUUGACGGGAUCACGAACAACUGGCAUCCAGACAACGCGUGAACCGGUAAGUGAAGGCUACUCCGCCAGAAGGAGGUUGAAGGCUACUCCGCCAGAAGGAGGUUGAAGGCUACUCCGCCAGAAGGAGGUUGAAGGCUACUCCGCCAGAAGGAGGUUGAAGGCUACUCCGCCACAAAGAGGUUGAAGGCUACUCCGCCAGAAGUAGGUUUUAAGGUUACUCCAUCUUUAAAGAGGUUAUUUAUUAGGAUCCAUAAAUGUGUGAGUGAGUGAAUGCAAGUGUGAAUGCCAUUACUUGUGGAAUCAUAGGUCACGGAUGGAAACCUAACGGUGCUAACAGAAGUCCGUGAUCCGGUGAAGUACACAAGGUAGUGGAUUAGGACUUGGGUCCCAAAAAGGACAAGUACUCUGUACGGGACAAAUAUAGAAAAACAUAAUGGUGAGCGGGAAUAAUAAGUCUGCCCUGUCAUUCUCCUGGCAUCCUCCCCAGGCUGGGUGUGGUCAGCCAAUUAGUCGGGACACACCUGCACCCUGGUUUGGGCUGAGUACACCCGGUACUUAUAGGACACGGGGGACAACUACUCCCCCGCCAGAUCGUUGAGCUUCAUGUCCCGUUCCAGCACUCUCGUAUCCCUGAUCGACAACCUGUGUGUACCAACCUUCGCCUGUUCUCCGACUCACCCCGUAAGCCUGACUCCCUCGAUACUUCUGCGUGCUUCGAACGUUCUCCUGUAUACCUGACCUGCCGUGUACCGACCCUCGCCUGUCCCCGGACCAUCCAAAGCUGGUGAACGAACCAAUCACGAUGGGGUUGUGGCUUUCGGGGUGUGACAGUGACAAGUCCUGAUGCAAGCUGAGAAACAUUUUUCAUUGAGUGAAAGUUAGUAAUAUUGCCAUGGAGAAAAUUAUUAGUUUUGCGCACAACCUGUUUACACCAGCUUUAUCUUAUUUUGUGUUUAAAAAAAAAAAAGACUAGAAUCACUGAGGGGGUAGUGGUACACGCGUCUGCCUUUGGUAUGGGCAGUAUGGGAUCGAUUCCCGCUCAGUGAUGGUGCCGAUAUCUGCCCUGUGACUGACUGGUGACAAAUUCAGGGUGUAGUCCACCUUUUGCCCGAAUUUAGCUGGAAUCGGCUUCAGCUUUCGUGAAACUCUUGUGAGUAUAAGCGGCUUAAAAAAUGACACGUUAUGACAAAUUGUGUGCAUGUGCGCUGAGGCUGCAUCCCAGCCUCAGCCAGAAUGUGCCUUCAGUGGCCCUGAUGUGAAUGGACUUUUGAGACCACUGAUAUACAUAAUAAGGGGAAAACCUGUAUUUAAAAAAAAAAAAAAAAAAAUGAAAAAAAUCUGUUUAAAACAUUGACAAUUUUGAGUCAUCGGCCUUGCCAUGUCUCGACAAGAGAGAUGGUAGUGGUAGAUAUUAUACAGACAUUUUCGCACCUUUGGAUUCAAUUCCUACUCAAAAAAUUUUUGUAGAUCAUGUCUUAAUUGCUACAAACUCAAUACUCAAGGGAACCGCAGACCUAAGAGAAGGCAGUUUCCCCAGGUAGUCAGCCUUUCCAGUUUUUACACAUUAAUUUUAAUUGAGUUAAACAGCAUUACAAAUGAAGUUUAGUAUUGAUCUGGCCCUUAUCUAAAUGGGUGGAGAUUUUUCCAUGUACAAGUCCUGAUGCUAUUCCUGUGGCAAAGUUCUUGUGUAAAUAUAUUAUUCCUUCUCAUGCCAUCCCAGAAAAAUUGUAUGGCACAAUGUGCCAUAUUUUGUGAAUGAAAAAAAAAAUAGUCAUGUAUCUGCAAAUCUAGAAAUAACUUAAUAAAAUAAAAAAAAUGUGCAGAAUUAGUGGAACGAAGCAAUGGGACGGUGAAGUCUUGAUUAAGGAAAACUACAUUUCGUAAAACUGUAUAUGAAAAUAACCCCAACAGAUAAAGGAUUGUUCCCAUUUGAAAUAGUAUAUAGUAGAUUAGAUUCGAUUAGACUGCCCAUGGUAGAGCGGCCAGUGCAGCAGUCAGAAGAAAAUACUUUAAGUGAUUGGGUGAAAGAGAUGCUGCUAAAUAAAACUGUAAAAGAAGCAAAUGAUCUGCCGCCUACUGUGCCUUCUUCACAGGUGCUGUUGGUGUCCAUUGGUGAUUGGGUCCUGAGAAAAAUCAUCAAGAGGAAGUGUUGGUCCUCACCUCGCUGGGAUGGUCCACUCCCACGGUGAUAAAGAUAGCAGAACGUCCCACAUGGAUACACUUGUCCCACUGCAAGCCUGUGGCUCCCUUUCCAUUCAACGACGAGUAGCGGUGGAAGUCCGGCUACAAAGGGUGGGGUAGCAAUAGAAUUCAGCUGAUCCGCGCUUGAGCAUGUUAGUUAAAGGAGAGCCACUAUUGGGACUGCUGGCCUUCGUGCUGUUCGGACCAUGGCUCCUCCGCACUGGCCAGUCUGGGACUGUACGUGUUUAUCACUGGAUCUAUGGACAUGAAUCAUCAUGGCGCAAGGACAAUCCCACCUCUCCAAUGGACGCCAACACCUGGUACUCUUAUGUGAAUAUGGUGUCCCUCUGUGGACAACCAAUGACAGAUCAACAAGUGUGGUGAAGCUGGAACUACUCAGAUGCCCCGCCAUGAAAAGAAGUGGGCAGCAGCGACGAGUCCGACAAUGCCAGCAAUUCCACCUACUGGUCUCAGACUUCAUGCCAGGCCAGGAGAGGAUGCAGAGAGAAACCAUCUGAGGUCUUCAGGACAGACCUGAUCACCACAAUGAAGGUGCAUGACUCGUACCAGCUCAACGCAGAGGAUUACUACGUCCUGGCCGAUCCAUAGAAGCAGAAGCGAGAAAAAGGGUAUCCACGUGCCCAUUAGCCCGCAGUCCAUCCCGGAGCCCAUGGUGCUAACUGACAAAAGCAAGGAUGUCAUAUUCAUCAGGCCCAAGAAGCUGAUCCGCACAUCUGCCACCCUGGUCCUCAGUUAUGUGGACAUCAGGACUUUGGCGGAGGGUGUGUGUCACUACGACCUCAACGAGGAAGAUGUCACCUGGCUGCAGGUCAUCGACGAGGAGUUUGCAAGGUUUCCCUUCUUCCACUGGAUGAAUUCGCCAUAGAGUGUUGAGCACCGUUGUCAUAACAACAUGACACACACUACCGAGACACAGUAAGGCCUUGGUAUCGAGUACAACGAGAACGUGGUGUGCGACGUGCCAGUUCCCCAACGGAGAGGACGACAACGAGAUGGUGUUCUGCAACAAGUGCAAUAUCUGCGUCCACCAGGUAUCCUGCCAAAGUGCCAGUUGUGCCCGAAAACGGGCGAUGCUAUGAAGCCCACCCGCAGUGGAACCAAGUGGGUCCAUGUCAGCUGUGCCUUGUGGAUCCCAAAGAUGAACAAUGGGAACCUGGACAAGAUGGAGCACGUCACCAACAUGUCGCACACUCCCAGAAACAGCCUCCACUCCAGCCUGGAGAGACCAUCAUCACUCAGAACGACAAAGUCAAGGUCAAGUACUACUGGCCCAAGCACUCGGGCCUUAAAGGCAGUGACUCUGUGGAGCGGGACUCCACCACUGAAGUUGAAAAUGAGGAAAGUGUCGGGAGCAAGAAGGGCAAAUUGAGAGGAAAGGUUGGAAGGGACAAUAAAGAGGACUUGGCCGCCCUCUGCCUCAUCCCUUUCGUCUCGUCGUCCUUGUGUCUUGUUUGUAAAUGUGACCCGCAGGAAAAGCGUGUCAAGGUCCGCAAGAUGAAAUUGCAAGAGAUGGAGGAGGUAUUCUACCAGUUUGUGGACACCGAGAAAGUGGGCCGUUACCUCAAGAUGACACCCAAGACAGUUGACUUCCUGUACCAGUACUAGAAGCUGAAGCACAAAGCUAAUUUCAACCAGCUGCUGCUCAUGCCUAAGAAGGACGAGGAGGACACCCUGGCCAGACGUGAACACGAGGUGUUGCUGAGAUGACUGCAGCUAUUCAAGCAACUCAGCCAAGACCUGGAGAGGGUGUCCAACCUGACUUGCAUGGUGAUGAAGAUGUAAAGACUGUUGUUUGGAAAAAUACAAGGAAUGGAGUGCAGGACAAUGGCCUGAUUUUAAAUGGACAAGGACUCUGCACUGUCACCAGCAAAGCUGAAGAAUCUCUUCUGUGUUUGCCCUUAUAUGCCAUGGGGCGCAAAAGUCUGCAUGACUGUCCCAAUCACCAGCGAGGGUUUCAUCUCAAAUCACGGCUUCCACUGUCAGUGGAGGCUGCGUGUUUAUCUCAACAUCAACCAUUGCCUUUCUCCUUACAUGUUUCGCGACUCCAGUACCAAGAAUAUCUGCACUAGACUUGGUUGGGCUGCUGUGUAUCCGCACACGUUGGGUUCAGAAAGUAGCAACGAUGUUCACCGACUGUUUAUUUAUGAUGAUGAUGAUGAUGAUGAUGAUUAUUAUUAUUUAUUACUAUUAGUCCUGGUUCACCUCCGGACCUGGGUAUUUUGUUAUGAAGUUCGUUGUAUCCGUAAUUAUUGUUCUGGGUUUGUUCUGCCUUUUCACGAUGUGUAUAAUCACACAUUUGAAAUCUAUGAUGGUUCGAGCAAGGUCAAAUGUUUUUGUGAAUUAUGCCCUUCUACAACAAGUAGACCGUGAUUAUAUGCAGCUACUGCCAAAAGAAAGCAUCUGAUGCCCCUUUGUCCGCUCGAUUGUAAAUGAUGUACUUUCUGUAAAUGCAACAGCAUUCUGAUGUCCCCACUCGUAUUUCCAAAAUGAUAAACAGGAGGGAAAUGUUAAAAUAAGAAUCCAUAUGUUCUCAUUUUGUUCAAACUGUAGUUGGUUACACAUCACCACCAAGCCUGUACCUUUGAACUCACUGUCUUGAUGUAAUCACUCUAACUUGAUGUAAUCAAUCUAGCAGAUGAAAACACUCAAACAGUCUGACACGUCUUAGUUUAUGUGUCGCAAGCCUUCAAUGGUUGUGACACACUCACACACACUCAUGUGAUUCACUGAAUAAAAAAAAGCUGCAAGGAGACAAAAGGUGGAGUUGGUUGGAAGCAGGGAAGUCCUGUCGCUCCCCUUGCAGCAAGUAAAACUUGAAGCCUUGUCUGUUCGCCUUCUUUUAAUAGAGUCAAACUUUUAAAUUUGACAAGGGGCACGACACAAAGCAGCUCAUCCAGACUUUGCGCUUGACAAUCUUGCGCUACCCUGGGAUAACGGUUUGCUUUCUUAACACAAUUGUGAUUGCACCAUGGACGUAAUCAGAACAGUAGUUUCUUUUAGUGAAUAAUUUAUGCUCUUUUUUUAUUUCCAUGUCUAUGGCAUCAUUUUAUACUUUACAAAAUCAUCUCUCAUGCCGGAUUAAAUGAAUUUGCAGGCCCGAUUUGGUGUAUGGGCCGUACGAUUGGCACCCUUGUUGUAGACCUUUGGGCAAAUAUGAGGAAUAUUGUAUUAGAAGUAAUAGGAGGAAGGACUUGAUACGUGGUAUGUUGUUUCACUCUCAAUCUGUUUUGUGAAUGUGUAAACACACUAAUGUUCACCUUUCAUUGAGUCGCUGUUCAAAGUCACUGAACAGCAGUGAUGAGUGGUGGGAUUUUCAACAUGGCGGCAUUAUAUACUUUUAUUAGGCCUGGCCAAUGGAAAAAAAAUGUUUUUAGUGUGAUUAAUUGCACCAGAUCCAUCCAUCUAUUUUAUCCUCACAGUGGACAUGGGAGUGCUGGCGCUUAUCCUAGCUAUCUUUGGCAGAAGGCGGGGUAAACCCAAAUCUGGCUGCUAUUCAAUCUCAGGGCACACAGAAACAAACAACCAGUCACAGUUACAAUCUCAUCUAAGGGCGCUUUACUUAGAGUCUCCAAUUAAUAUGUUUUGGGAUGUGAGAGGAAUCCGGAGUGCCCAGAGAAAACCAACCCAGGCACGGGAGAACAUGGAAACUCUACACAGGCGGGGGCGGGAUUGGAACCCCGGUCAUCAGAACUGUGAAGGCGGAGGGUCUAACAUGUUGCGCCACCAUGCGCCAAAUAAUUGAAAGUGCACUUUUAUUUUAAAUGUACUUUCAUAUGAACGAAAGUGACAUAACAAGCGUCUCCAGCUCAUUGUCUCGCCUGCCAUCUCCCAGUGGAUCUAAACCUUCCUGACAACCAGAACACAGCAAGUGAGGUUGGGGGACACUACCUCAUCCACAUAUCAGGUAUCAGCACCAGGGAAACCCAAGGUUAUGUCCUCUUCUCUGCUCUUCUCGCGGUACAAAUACGACUCUACCUCGAGGCACCCGUCUGUUAAACUCAUGAAGUUCGCAGAUGACACCACAGUCCUCAGCUUCAUCAAAGGUGGCGACAAAUUUGCGUAUCGACGGCAGGUGGCGAGACUAGAACUUUGGUGUGGCCAAUUGAUCCUUGCGUUGAACACUUUAAAGACUGUAGAAAAGAUUAUGGACUUCAGGAGGCAUCCUUCACCACAGCUGCCCCUCACAAUGUUCAACUGUUUUCAGUCAACCGUCGAGACCUUCAAGUUCUUGGGAAUUACAGUCUCACAGUACCUGAAGUGGGAAACGAAUAUCAACUCCAUCCUCAAAAAAGCCCAGUAAAAGAUGUACUUCUUGGGGCUUCUGAGGAAGCAUGGCCUGUCACAACAGCUGCUGGGACAGUUCUACAUAGCGGUCAUCCUAUCAGUUCUGUUUACCUCCAUUACAUUUCUGGUUUGGGUCCAACACAAAAUAUGAUGAACUCUGAGUGCAACAGACAAUCAAAACUGCUAAACCGAUUGUCGGCAACAUCCUAUCCACCCUUGAAGACUUGCACGCCACUUUAACUAGGACCAGAGUGGACAGGAUCCUUUCGGACCCUCAACAUCUUGUUCACCAGCUGUUCCAGCUCUUUCUGUUUGGUAAGCGCUACCAAUCAAUGCAAAUUAAAACUAUCAGGCAUUCAAACAUUUUUUUUUCCCUCGUGCAAUCAAGUAAUUAAAUUCUUGAUUAGCGAACCUCCUAUUUUCUGCCUUGAGCUGUUGUUGGGACAUACCUUCAAAUCCUGCUGGUCCCUGGACCUCAGAAGGGUGAGACCAACGCUCUCCAGCUGCGCCACUGUGCCGCCCAUUAUUAACAUUUAAGAUGAUAAACAGGCUCUCUUCUACUGCACAAAAUGACCAGUCAUAGAAAAACCUUAAAUAGGGAAUGUGUAAGUUUUCCCUUUACCUCAGUUAUGGAUUUGGUUGUGCUAUCAAUUUUGCAUCUCUGCCUCCAUCAGUACCCUCAACACCCACCCUCUCUUCCCUUCAAUAUUCAUAGCUUCUGAGUGGAAGCACGACUAGCUUUAGUUACUCCUUCGUUAUAGGAAUAUCAUUUUAUAGUCAUGUUUAUUUUAUUUAGUUUUUAAGUCAGCUGUCUAAAUGAUGAUGAUUGUCAAAGCAUUUUUUUUUGUAAUUCAUAUCUGAGACGGCUCCAGAAAAACCGCAGCCUUUAUCACACACUGCAAGUUUCAUUUUAUCAAUCACACUUGCAUAAAAGGUUCCAAACAUUUGUAUUUUUAGUUUGAAAAAAAAUAAUUAAAAAUUAAAUUCAAAAUGUCGUGUUUUGGUACAGUAAUGACAAAUUUUAUACUAUGCCUAAUUUUAUUGUGUUCCUGUACUUUCAAUUGUGAAUUAAUGAUAAAGAACAACAAGUGGUGUGAAACUAAACAUUUUUCCAUGAAUCCUAUCAUGCUGUUUUCU
Long non-coding RNA from Syngnathoides biaculeatus (alligator pipefish), 8039 nucleotides. RefSeq lists it as uncharacterized. NCBI's taxonomy places the organism in Eukaryota, Metazoa, Chordata, Actinopteri, Syngnathiformes, Syngnathidae. The transcript is spliced from 3 exons. The record is from RefSeq and is a predicted model, not a curated record.